Molecule: ribosomal RNA, 847 nt
Filed under: Chordodes sp. LMB1350000070
Lineage: Eukaryota; Metazoa; Nematomorpha; Gordioida; Chordodea; Chordodidae
Description: SSU rRNA
Rfam family: Eukaryotic small subunit ribosomal RNA
Source: RNAcentral
CAUGUCUAAGUAUAAACUUACUACAAGUGAAACCGCGAAUGGCUCAUUAAAUCAGUUAUGGUUUAUUAGAUCGUCCCAACCACAUGGAUAACUGUGGUAAUUCUAGAGCUAAUACAUGCUGAAACGUCGAAUCGCGAGGUUCGACUGCUUUUAUUAGAACAAAAACUAACAGUUUUUGUGGUGACUCUGGAUAACUUUGUGCCGAUCGCAUGGUCUCGUACCGGCGACGUAUCUUUCAAAUGUCUGCCUUAUCAACUGUCGAUGGUAGGUUAUAUGCCUACCAUGGUUGUAACGGGUAACGGAGAAUCAGGGUUCGAUUCCGGAGAGGGAGCCUGAGAAACGGCUACCACAUCCAAGGAAGGCAGCAGGCGCGCAAAUUACCCACUCCCGGCUCGGGGAGGUAGUGACGAUAAAUAACAACGCAGGUCUCAAACGAGACCCUGUAAUUGGAAUGAGAUCACUUUAAAUCCUUUAACGAGGAUCUAUUGGAGGGCAAGUCUGGUGCCAGCAGCCGCGGUAAUUCCAGCUCCAAAAGCGUAUAUUAAAGUUGUUGCAGUUAAAAAGCUCGUAGUUGGAUCUCGGGUAACGGGAGGAGGCCCGCUUAACCGCGAUCGCUUCCUCGUCCGACCUAUCAUUCGUCCUGGGCUAGGUGCUCUUCACCGGGUGUCUAGCUUAGAACGGAACGUUUACUUUGAAAAAAUUAGAGUGCUCAAAGCAGGCUCGAAGCCUCGAAUAUCGGUGCAUGGAAUAAUGGAAUAGGACCUCGGUUCUAUUUUGUUGGUUUUCGGAAUCCGAGGUAAUGAUUAAGAGGAACGGACGGGGGCAUCCGUACUGUGGCGCUAGAGGU